RNAcentral lists this ribosomal RNA (586 nucleotides) under uncultured bacterium. RNAcentral's name for it is "bacterial SSU rRNA". It matches the Rfam family "Bacterial small subunit ribosomal RNA", at positions 338 to 916 of the family's 1533-position model. The record is from RNAcentral.
CCUACGGGAGGCAGCAGUGGGGAAUUUUGGACAAUGGGCGAAAGCCUGAUCCAGCAAUGCCGCGUGCAGGAUGAAGGCCUUCGGGUUGUAAACUGCUUUUGUACGGAACGAAGCGGUUCUUUCUAAUAAAGAGAGCUAAUGACGGUACCGUAAGAAUAAGCACCGGCUAACUACGUGCCAGCAGCCGCGGUAAUACGUAGGGUGCAAGCGUUAAUCGGAAUUACUGGGCGUAAAGCGUGCGCAGGCGGUUAUGUAAGACAGUUGUGAAAUCCCCGGGCUCAACCUGGGAAUUGCAUCUGUGACUGCAUAGCUAGAGUACGGUAGAGGGGGAUGGAAUUCCGCGUGUAGCAGUGAAAUGCGUAGAUAUGCGGAGGAACACCGAUGGCGAAGGCAAUCCCCUGGACCUGUACUGACGCUCAUGCACGAAAGCGUGGGGAGCAAACAGGAUUAGAUACCCUGGUAGUCCACGCCCUAAACGAUGUCAACUGGUUGUUGGGUCUUCACUGACUCAGUAACGAAGCUAACGCGUGAAGUUGACCGCCUGGGGAGUACGGCCGCAAGGUUGAAACUUAAAGUGAAUUGACGG